Trichomycterus rosablanca is the source of this 649-nucleotide long non-coding RNA. RefSeq lists it as uncharacterized. The record is from RefSeq and is a predicted model, not a curated record. NCBI's taxonomy places the organism in Eukaryota, Metazoa, Chordata, Actinopteri, Siluriformes, Trichomycteridae. The transcript is spliced from 6 exons.
AGUGAGGCCAGCAGGUUGGUUCUCCCUGGCUGAGUGACCCCUUUGCUGCUGUAAGCACUGUCUGUCUGCCCUUCUGUGGCCUGCUGGCCCACAAUCUCACCUUCCUGAUGGAGUUAGAAAGAGGUCUGCUUCCAAACCCCUCCAGUGUGAACUUCUCCACCCUCUUCUGUCUCUCCUGGAACAUUCGAGAACCUCUAUUUGACAGCAGGUUUAACUCCUCCAUCAUUACAUCCUGAGGAACACUGAUCUUCUUUCCCAGGAGAAUGAGGAGAGUGAGACUAACACAUGCCCGUCCGACACGUGUGCAGUAGCCGACUGCAUCGUUUCACCUGCACAAGGAUGAACUCUGGCGCAACUGUGACACUGAUCAUAAUGAAGUGAUUGUUGCCCUCCUGAGGGUAUUUUCUACCUCGCAGCCAGUGUUUAUGGGCGCCGCUGGACACACCACACCCAUGACCAGGAUAAAGUGAUUUUUAAAAAAGGAUUUUGUGAUUCGUCCACUGAGGAUCAAGCUGCUUAUGCUAACACAUUAACCUGACAGCAGGAGUUGAUGUUGCAGUAGCAAGGACAGGAUUUCUCAUCUGACCCCCCUCCUGCAGACACGUUCAUUUGUUUCUGUUGACUGCUGCACUCCCCUAAUUAGUUUUAG